This 69-nucleotide transfer RNA is filed under the name Metapenaeus affinis. Its description in RNAcentral is "tRNA-Trp". The record is from RNAcentral. Lineage: Eukaryota; Metazoa; Arthropoda; Malacostraca; Decapoda; Penaeidae.
AAGGCUUUAAGUUAUUUAAACUUGUAGCCUUCAAAGCUACCCAAAGGAGUAAAACCCUCCUAAGCCUUA